GGGGCUGUGGUCGAGCGGUUUAAGAUUCCUGACUGUCGAUCAGGAGGUCGCGGGUUCAAAUCCCGUCAGCCCCG
This 74-nucleotide transfer RNA is filed under the name candidate division NPL-UPA2 bacterium Unc8. RNAcentral describes it as "tRNA-Asp". It matches the Rfam family "tRNA". Rfam says of the family: Transfer RNA (tRNA) molecules are approximately 80 nucleotides in length. Their secondary structure includes four short double-helical elements and three loops (D, anti-codon, and T loops). Further hydrogen bonds mediate the characteristic L-shaped molecular structure. tRNAs have two regions of fundamental functional importance: the anti-codon, which is responsible for specific mRNA codon recognition, and the 3' end, to which the tRNAs corresponding amino acid is attached (by aminoacyl-tRNA synthetases). tRNAs cope with the degeneracy of the genetic code in two manners: having more than one tRNA (with a specific anti-codon) for a particular amino acid; and 'wobble' base-pairing, i.e. permitting non-standard base-pairing at the 3rd anti-codon position. The record is from RNAcentral.